This 353-nucleotide ribosomal RNA is filed under the name uncultured bacterium. RNAcentral's name for it is "bacterial SSU rRNA". It matches the Rfam family "Bacterial small subunit ribosomal RNA", at positions 8 to 349 of the family's 1533-position model. The record is from RNAcentral.
AGAGUUUGAUCAUGGCUCAGGAUGAACGCUAGCUACAGGCUUAACACAUGCAAGUCGAGGGGAAACGACAUCGAAAGCUUGCUUUUGAUGGGCGUCGACCGGCGCACGGGUGAGUAACGCGUAUCCAACCUGCCCAUCACUUGGGGAUAACCUUGCGAAAGUAAGACUAAUACCCAAUGAUAUCUCUAGAAGGCAUCUGAAAGAGAUUAAAGAUUUAUCGGUGAUGGAUGGGGAUGCGUCUGAUUAGCUUGUUGGCGGGGUAACGGCCACCAAAGCAACGGAUCAGUAGGGGUUCUCGAGAGGAAGGUCCCCCACAUUGGAACUGAGACACGGUCCAAACUCCUACGGGAGCA